This 497-nucleotide ribosomal RNA is filed under the name uncultured bacterium. RNAcentral's name for it is "partial 16S ribosomal RNA". It matches the Rfam family "Bacterial small subunit ribosomal RNA", at positions 28 to 507 of the family's 1533-position model. The record is from RNAcentral.
GAUGAACGCUGGCGGCGUGCCUAAUACAUGCAAGUCGAGCGAACGGACGAGAAGCUUGCUUCUCUGAUGUUAGCGGCGGACGGGUGAGUAACACGUGGAUAACCUACCUAUAAGACUUGGAUAACUUCGGGAAACCGUAACUACUACCGGAUAAUAUUUUGAACCGCAUGGUUCAAAAGUGAUAGACGGUCUUGCUGUCACUUCUAGAUGGAUCCGCGCUGCAUUAGCUAGUUGGUAAGGUAACGGCUUACCAAGGCAACGAUGCAUAGCCGACCUGAGAGGGUGAUCGGCCACACUGGAACUGAGACACGGUCCAGACUCCUACGGGAGGCAGCAGUAGGGAAUCUUGCGAAAUGGGCGAAAGCCUGACGGAGCAACGCCGCGUGAGUGAUGAAGGGCUUCGGAUCGUAAAACUCUGUUAUUAGGGAAGAACAUUUGUGUAAGUAACUGUGCACAUCUUGACGGUACCUAAUCAGAAAGCCACGGCUAACUACGUG